UUUGUAUUUUUUUUUUUUUUUCCUUACCAAACCCAGUUGCUAAUGCUAAGUGCAUUAAGGCGUAUGAGGCUAAACAAUAUGCUGAGCUGGAAAAAUUGGACUUGCUGUUUAAAAACAAAACUUCAGGGCUUAAUCAGUCAAAACAACAGAUUAAGGAUCCAUAGGUUUUUCCCAUAACAGUAAGGGUUAUUUUCAUGCAUUUGGCCAAAAGAAAAAGUUUACUUCUUGAAAUUCAACCUGUUUUAACAUAGGAUCUCUAGGAGACACAGGAAUCUCAAAAGCUGUAUGCAGAAAGUAUUUUUUGACCCCAGCAUCUCAAAAUGUAGGAAAUAAUAAACCAGCAAUAUUUAGCUACUCUAGUAACACACAUGAAGAAGAUUUAUCAUAUUCCACCAAAGUACACAAGAACUUGUGAUAUCAGGCAAUUUCUAUAAUCAUUUGCAUCAGAUCGAGAUAUCAUUCAGCAACUGGUAUCGAAAUCUGCAAUAAUAAAUGACUUAC
RNAcentral lists this unclassified non-coding RNA (501 nucleotides) under Hevea brasiliensis (rubber tree). The record is from RNAcentral. Lineage: Eukaryota; Viridiplantae; Streptophyta; Magnoliopsida; Malpighiales; Euphorbiaceae.